Molecule: long non-coding RNA, 370 nt
Filed under: Lathyrus oleraceus (garden pea)
Lineage: Eukaryota; Viridiplantae; Streptophyta; Magnoliopsida; Fabales; Fabaceae
Description: Pisum sativum (pea) long non-coding RNA (PSAT_LNC023319)
Source: RNAcentral
UGAGAGGCAUUUUCAUCCGUCUCUUUGGCUUUGCUCCAACGGUUACUGAUCUGAGCAAUUGUGUUACCAGUAAGGGCGGAGGAGGCGGCUGUUAUCGCCUGCUUCACCGGGAACUGAUAACCACCUCCGACGAUGGAACCAGGCGAAGUCGAAUUAGAGCGAAUACGACGCCGUCGAGAUUCCGGUGACGGAUUCCACUUCCAGAAGCCGCUAAAUCCACUCCCAAUCCAAGCGCGUCCAUCCCUCUCGAAAAACACGCGAUUUUUUAGCUCUUAAGUCUUAUUCUUAUUUCAAGACCUAACAUGUGGUGUGAGUCUGAAACAAAGAAAAAGUGAAAACGCAGCGUUUCAUACUCAGUUUUCCCUUUCCC